Long non-coding RNA from Athalia rosae (coleseed sawfly), 837 nucleotides. RefSeq lists it as uncharacterized. Lineage: Eukaryota; Metazoa; Arthropoda; Insecta; Hymenoptera; Athaliidae. The record is from RefSeq and is a predicted model, not a curated record. The transcript has 3 exons.
UUCGUCUCUAAUCUUUUUCCUUUAUUUUCAUCUGGCAUUCGUACGUUCCGACGUUAGCCGGUUCGGUAGGUCGUUACGUAACUUCGAGGGGUGAGGGUAGAUUUGAGGUGCUUUUUCGUGUUGCAGUUAACGGGGGUUAUUUCGACUCCUACUCCACAUCGUCUCUGGUGGAUAAUCCAAUGCUGCCGAGCGCCGCGCCAGAUUGCAAAGCCGAUCGCUGUCACAACAAAAGUCCCUACCACGCUGCCGUAUAGUUUCGAGCCUGAUAAUUGUGGAACGCCGAAUCUGACGUAACUCAAGACCAUCUUCCAAGAUCGUCGACUUUAUCUGAACACCUACGUGCAAUUUUUUUUACCCCCUCGGAGAACGGCCGGAGUAAACUAUCGGAAGAUCGCGCGAAUUUGCGAUGAAUAUGAGAUCGAUGAGAACGGUUAACUCUAUAUAGCUUCUUCUGACUGCUUUUCAACACGUGUUUUAUUCGGUCUGAGAUUCGGAUGAUUGUAACCAAACGACGAAUAGUGUAACAAAUUGAUUCGGCUUAUCGUCUCACAAUUCAUUGCUGGGAAUAUCAGUUUUUGAAUCAUAACUAUUCCUCAUUAAAAAACGUUGGGACGCGAUGACAGCUCCUCCGGUCGCCGAGGAAAUCAGCGAGGAAGACCGACGUGGAAAAGAACUGUUUGUUGGCAGUCGAUUGAAUCCGCAAAAAUUCCGAACGGCGCAAUUUGAACGCGGAUUCGAACGGUGCCAUCGACCGACAUUCGACACUUCUUCGCUUUUCUUCGUCACCGAGAAUUGUGUCCACCGAGCAGCUGGAUUCGAAGAAGGGAAACGUUCCGA